Molecule: ribosomal RNA, 708 nt
Filed under: uncultured Providencia sp.
Lineage: Bacteria; Pseudomonadati; Pseudomonadota; Gammaproteobacteria; Enterobacterales; Morganellaceae
Description: bacterial SSU rRNA
Rfam family: Bacterial small subunit ribosomal RNA
Source: RNAcentral
GUCACGCUGUAAACGAUGUCGAUUUGGAGGUUGUUCCCUUGAGGAGUGGCUUCCGGAGCUAACGCGCUAAAUCGACCGCUGGGGAGUACGGCCGCAAGGUUAAAACUCAAAUGAAUUGACGGGGGCCCGCACAAGCGGUGGAGCAUGUGGUUUAAUUCGAUGCAACGCGAAGAACCUUACCUACUCUUGACAUCCAGAGAAUUUAGCAGAGAUGCUUUAGUGCCUUCGGGAACUCUGAGACAGGUGCUGCAUGGCUGUCGUCAGCUCGUGUUGUGAAAUGUUGGGUUAAGUCCCGCAACGAGCGCAACCCUUAUCCUUUGUUGCCAGCACAUUAUGGUGGGAACUCAAAGGAGACUGCCGGUGAUAAACCGGAGGAAGGUGGGGAUGACGUCAAGUCAUCAUGGCCCUUACGAGUAGGGCUACACACGUGCUACAAUGGCGUAUACAAAGAGAAGCGACCUCGCGAGAGCAAGCGGAACUCAUAAAGUACGUCGUAGUCCGGAUUGGAGUCUGCAACUCGACUCCAUGAAGUCGGAAUCGCUAGUAAUCGUAGAUCAGAAUGCUACGGUGAAUACGUUCCCGGGCCUUGUACACACCGCCCGUCACACCAUGGGAGUGGGUUGCAAAAGAAGUAGGUAGCUUAACCUUCGGGAGGGCGCUUACCACUUUGUGAUUCAUGACUGGGGUGAAGUCGUAACAAGGUAACCA